This 540-nucleotide ribosomal RNA is filed under the name uncultured Geobacteraceae bacterium. RNAcentral describes it as "bacterial SSU rRNA". It matches the Rfam family "Bacterial small subunit ribosomal RNA", at positions 9 to 526 of the family's 1533-position model. The record is from RNAcentral. Lineage: Bacteria; Pseudomonadati; Thermodesulfobacteriota; Desulfuromonadia; Geobacterales; Geobacteraceae.
GAGUUUGAUCCUGGCUCAGAACGAACGCUGGCGGCGUGCCCAACACAUGCAAGUCGAACGUGAUCCAGAGCCUGCUCUGGUGAAAGUGGCGCACGGGUGAGUAACGCGUGGAUAACCUACCCUGGUAUCCGGGAUAACAUUCCGAAAGGGGUGCUAAUACCGGAUAAGCCCACGGGCUCUUUGGAGCUUGCGGGAAAAGGUGGCCUCUAUUUAUAAGCUACUGUAUCAGGAUGGGUCCGCGUACCAUUAGCUAGUUGGCGGUGUAACGGACCACCAAGGCGACGAUGGUUAGCUGGUCUGAGAGGAUGAUCAGCCACACUGGAACUGAGACACGGUCCAGACUCCUACGGGAGGCAGCAGCGGGGAAUUUUGCGCAAUGGGGGAAACCCUGACGCAGCAACGCCGCGUGAGUGAUGAAGGCCUUUGGGUCGUAAAGCUCUGUCAGAGGGGAAGAAAUGAUAUAGUGCUAAUACCACUUUAUCUUGACGGUACCCUCAAAGGAAGCACCGGCUAACUCCGUGCCAGCAGCCGCGGUAAUAC